AUUGAACGCUGGCGGCAGGCCUAACACAUGCAAGUCGAGCGAGCGGAGGACGGGUGAGUAAUGUCUGGGAAACUGCCUGAUGGCGGGGGAUAACUACUGGAAACGGUAGCUAAUACCGCAUACCAUCAGAUGUGCCCAGAUGGGAUUAGCUAGUAGGUGGGGUAAUGGCUCACCUAGGCGACGAUCCCCAGCUGGUCUGAGCGGAUGACCAGCCACACGGGACCUGAGACACGGUCCAGACUCCGACGGGAGGCAGCAGUGGGGAAUAUUGCACAAUGGACGCAAGCCGGAUGCAGCCAUGCCGCGUGUGUGAAGAAGGCCUUCGGAUUGUAAAGCACUUUCAGCGGGGAGGCGUUACCCGCAGAAGAAGCACCGGCUAACUCCGUGCCAGCAGCCGCGGUAAUUC
This 406-nucleotide ribosomal RNA is filed under the name uncultured bacterium. Its description in RNAcentral is "partial 16S ribosomal RNA". It matches the Rfam family "Bacterial small subunit ribosomal RNA", at positions 30 to 526 of the family's 1533-position model. The record is from RNAcentral.